AGUGAACGCUGGCGGUAGGCCUAACACAUGCAAGUCGAACGGCAGCACAGUAAGAGCUUGCUCUUACGGGUGGCGAGUGGCGGACGGGAGAGGAAUACAUCGGAAUCUACUUUUUCGGGGGGGAUAACGUAGGGAAACUUACGCUAAUACCGCAUACGACCUACGGGUGAAAGCAGGGGAACUUCGGACCUUGCGCGAUUGAAUGAGCCGAUGUCGGGUUAGCUAGUUGGCGGGGUAAAGGCCCACCAAGGCGACGAUCCGUAGCCGGUCUGAGAGGAUGAUCAGCCACACGGGAACUGAGACACGGUCCAGACUCCUACGGGAGGCAGCAGUGGGGAAUAUUGGACAAUGGGCGCAAGCCUGAUCCAGCCAUACCGCGUGGGUGAAGAAGGCCUUCGGGUUGUAAAGCCCUUUUGUUGGGAAAGAAAAGCAGCAGGUUAAUACCCCGCUGUUCUGACGGUACCCAAAGAAUAAGCACCGGCUAACUUCGUG
Molecule: ribosomal RNA, 492 nt
Filed under: uncultured bacterium
Lineage: Bacteria
Description: partial 16S ribosomal RNA
Rfam family: Bacterial small subunit ribosomal RNA
Source: RNAcentral